GAUGAACGCUGGCGGCGUGCCUAAUACAUGCAAGUCGAGCGAACAGACGAGGAGCUUGCUCCUCUGACGUUAGCGGCGGACGGGUGAGUAACACGUGGAUAACCUACCUAUAAGACUGGGAUAACUUCGGGAAACCGGAGCUAAUACCGGAUAAUAUAUUGAACCGCAUGGUUCAAUAGUGAAAGACGGUUUUGCUGUCACUUAUAGAUGGAUCCGCGCCGCAUUAGCUAGUUGGUAAGGUAACGGCUUACCAAGGCGACGAUGCGUAGCCGACCUGAGAGGGUGACGGCCACCACUGGAACUGAGACACGGUCCAGACUCCUAGGGGAGGCAGCAGUAGGGAAUCUUCCGCAAUGGGCGAAAGCCUGCCGGAGCAACGCCGCGUGAGUGAUGAAGGUCUGCGGAUCGUAAAACGCUGUUAUUAGGGAAGAACAAAUGGGUAAGUAACUAUGCACGUUUGGACGGUACCUAAUCAGAAAGCCACGGCUAACUACGU
Molecule: ribosomal RNA, 496 nt
Filed under: uncultured bacterium
Lineage: Bacteria
Description: partial 16S ribosomal RNA
Rfam family: Bacterial small subunit ribosomal RNA
Source: RNAcentral